AAACCCUAACCUCAUACUCAUCAUCAUCAAAAACCCCAACUCUACAAACCCAUACACGGUCACACUUCCUCUCUCUCUCCUCUGCCUCCGACAUCACCACCACUUCCACUAUGACUGUUGGGCCGCCGCCAUCACCUCCGUUACCGCCCUCUCUCUCUCUCUCUUCUCGGCAUGUUGCUUCAGGACAUCGAUUUGCUUUCGGUGGCUUACUUCUCUCUACAUUUUUUUUCUCUCUCCUCAUCUUCUCUUUUCCUCACCAUAUCGACGACGAUCUCCCCUGCCCUUUACUCUUUUUCCAUGGCCGCUGCCUUUUUCACCCUCACAUCCACCGCACACCACCACUACUACCAUUUUCACCAUCUUCAUGCCAUUCUCGGAUGACGACAAUAUGAGAUAUGAAGAAGGCUUCAAAUUUGUUGGAUUUAUGGUAGAUCUGAGAUGUGAGGGCUCUUCCUUUACUGCUAUAACCACCAAGAUGAACGAUGGAGGCCAAAUCUAUGUUCGAUUUUUGUUGGCUCAUGAUCUAUGUUCAAAGUUAUAUAUAUAUGUAUGUAAAGCUUCAGUGAUUUCUAUAUAUGCGUGUGUUUGUGUGCAAUUGGGUAUUUGAUUGUUCGAUUUCCAAACCCUAAUGGCGGAAAUGGAAUUUCGACGUCUGUAUACGUGUAUAAUUGGGUAUCUGAUUGUUGUUUGAUUUGGUUGUUGGAAACCUAGAGGAAACGAUUUUGGUUACGUUUAUCCAACUGUUGAUUACUAGGUACAUGCUGAUUUAAAGUCAAAAUUGAAUUAUUUUUUGCGUUGAUUUUUGUGUGAUUAGAAUGAAAUUGAGCUAGGGCUAAAUUAGAGAAGUUGUUCUGAUUGUUGGAUUUGAUUAUUUUGGAUUGAUUUGAGGGAUUUUUGAUGGAAAUUAUUGUCAUUUUGGAUUUGAGUGUUAUUAAUUUGAAAGAAGUGUUUUCAAUUCCCUUUUCUAAUUGAUUUUGAAGGUAUAUACUGAUUUAAACUCUAAAAUUUUGAAAUUUUUUUUCUGUACUUAAUAUCAACGUGUAUAUUUAUAUAGGUUGUUUUUUUUUUCCCCGUUGUUGAGUGAAAGAAGAGGUAAGCUUUAUGAUAGGUCUAACAGUUUAAUUGCCAUAUUGUCCAAUGCAUUGUCUUGAUUGUUAAAUUAUAUGGUUAUAUUAUAGUUUAUGUUAUUUUUGGGAAAUCAUAUGCAGUUAAUCUGUGGAGGGGAAAGGGCCUGAGUGAGGUAAUUUCUACUAAUAAUGGUUUUAUAUUCUUACUGUUUGACUCGAAUUCUAAUAAUGCUAGUGUUAUUGAAGAUGGUCCAUGGUUUUUUGGGGGUCACUUUCUGAUCCUGAAGAAAAGGCACAAGAUGGUGAGGCCAACCAAGAUGAUGAGGCUAAACCUAAGGAAGAUGCAGUGCAAGCAUAGCUGUGGUUCUUGCCACUGCUCUCCUUGUUUCCCUUUCACUUCACUUGGAAACAAUUCACGCUGCUACUUUCAUUGUCGGUGAUUCUUUAGGAUGUGAUUUUAGUGUUGGAAGCUGGACAAAUGGGAAGCAAUUCAAGGCCGAGGAUAUGCUAAACAACGUGUUCGACAAAAGUCCCAAGUGAGGUGAGCUUCCUCUUGCUUUGAUUCUCUUUUCUAACUAACCAAACAGAGUAUUUUUCUUAUUUGAUUACUCUAGUUGAUUGUAUGUUACAAUUUUUAGCCUAAUAUGUAUUCCUUUUUUUUUCUUUUUUCUUUUUUUUUAAUCUGUUAAAAAUGGUUGAGAGGAAAAGUAAAAGCUGUUCCCUCUGGGGAUAGUUUCGUGAUAUUGGGGAGCACCAAGGCAGAAAUCCCCCCUGAGAAGAUAAUCACUUUGUCAUCCUUAUUCUCCAAGAUUGGCCCAUAGAAGUGGUGUUGAUAAGCCAUUUGCAUGGGAAAGUAGAGAGUAUUUAAGGAAACUGUGUAUGGGAAAGGAUGUCACAUUCAAAGUGGAUUAUACGGUACCAUCUAUUGGGCGAGAAUUUAGCUUUGUUUUCCUUGGUGAUAAGAAUGUUGCAUUGAUAGUUGUUUCUAAUGGCUGGGUAAAGGUUAGGGAGCGGGGUCAAUAGAAAGGAGAUGCUACUCCUUUCUUAGUAGAACUACUACGUCUUGAAGAACAUGCCAAGCAACAAGGGCUAAGACGUUGAACCAGGGUUAUGCAGAUGGUUUGGCUGGGUAUGAUCUAGGUAGCCCAGUCAAUUUUUAGCAAAUUCUUCUUGGUUUUAUCAGAGAGUGAUGGUGUUGUACGGGAGCCAGGCUGCAACUUUGCGCUAGUUCUAGUUCUUUGUGCCUUGGGUCAAUCCAUUGUUCUAUUUAUUUUCUUUCCUCCUCUCAGUGCUUUGUGAUUUUGGAAAUUUUCUUUUUAUUUCAGUUGUGUAUCAGUGUUACUGUCCCUUCUCCUGCGGGCUAUGGUGGAGAUUUGUUCCUUGGGUAGUUGUCGGUUAUGGUGUCCCCAUGAAGCUUGCUGUUCUGCCGUAACCAGAUAGUGAUAUACCCUGAAGGCCUUGGUACAGAGUUAUUGCGGCUACUCAUACAUAUGGAGGCUUUUUAGUUUGUCUACAGGUCUUUGUGUUACCAUUGCUUAUUGGUUGUGAUAAAGUAAUGCCUUGGCUUAGUUGUUUGGACUUAGUCGGUUUUGCUUUCCUGGUUUUCUCUGUUUGCUGAUAUGGGCCCUUUUGUUCUUGUUCUGCCUCCCUAUUUUCUUUUAGAUAUGGAUGUUGAACAGGUUGUUUGGCCCCUUUGGUUUUUUCUUUCUUUUAGGUCUUUAGCUUGGUUAUAGUUUUUGUUAGUUUGGUUUUAUUGUAUAACUAUGGUAAGGCCUGAGGUAUUGCCCUUGGAAUCUUAUAUAUUUUCCUGUUUUAUUUUAUGACUUAUUCACUAAAAAUAAAUAAAUAAA
Molecule: non-coding RNA, 2917 nt
Organism: Camellia sinensis
Lineage: Eukaryota; Viridiplantae; Streptophyta; Magnoliopsida; Ericales; Theaceae
Source: RefSeq, a predicted model, not a curated record